UGACGAAGCGACGCCGCGUGCGGGAAGAAGGCCUUCGGGUUGUAAACCGCUGUCGGGAGUUAAGAAAUGCAAGGAUGUUAAUAGCGUUCUUGCUUGACUAAGGCUCCGGAGGAAGCCACGGCUAACUCUGUGCCAGCAGCCGCGGUAAUACAGAGGCGGCAAGCGUUGUUCGGAAUUAUUGGGCGUAAAGAGCACGUAGGCGGCUAUGUAAGGCGGUUGUGAAAGCCUUCCGCUCAACGGAAGAACAGCAUCCGAUACUGCAUGGCUUGAGUGCGGGAGGGGAGAGUGGAACUUCUGGUGGAGCGGUGGAAUGCGUAGAUAUCAGAAGGAACGCCGGCGGCGAAAGCGACUCUCUGGCCCGCAACUGACGCUGAGUGUGCGAAAGCUAGGGGAGCAAACGGGAUUAGAUACCCCGGUAGUCCUAGCCGUAAACGAU
RNAcentral lists this ribosomal RNA (436 nucleotides) under uncultured bacterium. RNAcentral describes it as "bacterial SSU rRNA". It matches the Rfam family "Bacterial small subunit ribosomal RNA", at positions 384 to 810 of the family's 1533-position model. The record is from RNAcentral.